This is an RNA transcript of Ananas comosus (pineapple), 3133 nucleotides long. It is a transcript of the gene named U-box domain-containing protein 4, with no coding region annotated. The transcript has 6 exons. The record is from RefSeq and is a predicted model, not a curated record. Lineage: Eukaryota; Viridiplantae; Streptophyta; Magnoliopsida; Poales; Bromeliaceae.
CCUCCGCGUCCUCCCUCUUCUUCCCCAUUCCUCUUCUCUCUCUCUCUCUCCCUCUCUCUCUCUCUCUUCGACGUCUCUCUCUCUCUCUUCCGUUAGGGUUUACUCUCCCCAUUUCUCCCCCCCGAAACCCUAGAAAUUCGAUCCGUUCUCCUCUCCGAUCUCUUUCUACGCGCUUUUGAAUCUUCUGAGGGGAGUCUCUCCGUCUCCUCGUCCUCGAUCUCCCACGGGAUUCGUCGCUUCUUCGGUUUCUCGCGGCGCAAGCAUCACCAUGUAUGCACUUUGAAACAGGUCCUAUGGAGAUACCUUUGUUGAAAACGUUGCUUGAUAGCAUCUCAAAUUUUGCCCUCCUAUCAUCCAGCAAUGCUGUUAAAACUGAACUAGUCCACAGAUACUGGCGAAAAAUUAAAGAGAUCUUGGAUCUUCUGAAACCUGUCUUUGAUGACGUCAUCUGUAAGGCGUCUCUAGAUGAGCAACUGAGUAAUGUGCUUAAAGAACUGGACUUUGUUAUCAAUGAAGCUCAGGAAAUUAUUGGCAGCUGGAACCAGAUGUCGAGCAAAAUUCUUCUUGUAUUGCAAAUUGAGCCCAUAAUUACAAAGAUUAAGACAUAUGCCCUAGAGAUAUGCCUAAAUGUUAAUUCUUCGGUUCCACCACCGGUGCCCAGUUGUUCUUCAACCUGUAUUGAGAAACUUCAACGGAUGCAUAAUGACCAAAUUUGUGGUGUCAUUAAGGAGGCUGCAAAAGAACUGGUAGGGAAAGCAACACCAAAGCCUGAAAAACUGGCAAAGAUUUCAAACCAUUUUAGCUUGUCAACAAAUCAUGAACUCUUGAUUGAGGCUGUUGCCCUCGAGAAACUUAAAACAAAGGGUGGCCGAGGCGAAAACCACAUAGAAUUCGAUACUAUUGACCGAGUAACUGCACUUGUCAACCAUAUGCAUGAUUGCUUUGUUAAAGAAAAACAGUUACUCAGCAUUAAAGGAAUACCUAUCCCUGCUGAUUUUUGCUGCCCGCUCUCCUUGGAACUGAUGUCUGAUCCGGUGAUUGUUGCAUCAGGACAAACGUACGAGCGGGCCUUUAUCAAAAAAUGGCUUGAUCUGGGUUUAACUGUUUGCCCUAAGACACGUCAAACCCUAGUGCACACCAACCUGAUUCCCAAUUACACUGUCAAAGCUUUGAUUGCCAACUGGUGUGAAUCAAAUGACAUUAAACUGCCCGAUCCUGUGAAAUCAUUGAAUUUGAGUCUUCCUUCUGCUUUUCUAGUAGAUUCAAGCCCUAAUGAAAGGGCUGACUGUCCAAGUUCACCUGAAUCUAAUAGUCCCACAUCUCCCCAUCAGCGACUCUCCAUUUCACAAACUUCAAACGGAUGCGAGGAAAACUUUUCGAGUUUAUCAUUAGCCACUUCUGAAGCAAAAACAGAAUCUAGUUUGGAACAAAGUAGGUGUACUGAUUCUCGCGGCGAAACUUCAAACCAACUGAAGGAGGAAAGUUUUCGAGCUUCUCAUGUGGAUAUGCAGAUUCAGGGUCAAAACAGUAGUGCUUCUGCCUCAAGUGCUGUUCCGAGUAGCAAUGCUGUUCCUGUAUCAAGUGAGGGUUCGAGUAAUGAUAGCAGUGAUACAUCAGGAGAAGUUUCACAAGAAACCCAAAAUGUCUCUUCUGCACCCCCAAGAGAACCUGAAUUUCCGCUUAGAAGAAGUCAAAUUUGGCGCCGUCCAUCUGAUAGGUUCUCCCCUAGAAUUGUAUCGUCGCAGAUGGAUUCCCGACCUGACCUCUCCGGUGUUGAAACUGAAGUUCGGAAGCUGAUUGAGGAUCUGAAAAACGAUUCUGUGGAAGUGCAGAGAGCUGCAACAGCAGAGCUUCGCCUUCUUGCUAAACACAACAUGGAGAACAGGAUUGUGAUUGCUAAUUGCGGAGCUGUAAGCCCAUUAGUUGGCCUUCUGUAUUCUGCUGAUCCCAAGACCCAAGAAAAUGCCGUAACUGCCCUCUUGAACUUAUCGAUCAAUGAUAAUAAUAAGACAGCGAUAGCCAGUGCUGACGCCAUUGAUCCUCUUAUUCAUGUCCUCAAAACAGGUAGUCCUGAAGCAAAAGAGAACUCAGCAGCAACUCUGUUUAGCCUAUCAGUAAUUGAAGAAAACAAGGUUAGGAUCGGUCGAUCAGGGGCUAUCGUGCCUUUAGUAGAAUUAUUGGGAAACGGGACUCCUCGAGGAAGGAAAGACGCAGCUACUGCUUUGUUUAAUUUGUCCAUAUUCCAUGAAAACAAGGCUCGAAUUGUUCAGGCCGGGGCCGUUAAGCACCUAGUAGAGCUUAUGGACCCAGCUGCUGGGAUGGUUGAUAAAGCCGUGGCUGUUUUGGCGAAUCUUGCUACUAUACCGGAAGGGAGGACAGCGAUUGGCCAUGCAGGUGGGAUUCCUGUGCUUGUAGAGGUUGUCGAGUUGGGUUCUGCGAGGGGAAAGGAAAAUGCCGCUGCAGCUUUGCUUCACCUAUGCACUAAUAGUAACCGGUUCUGUAGUCAGGUUCUUCAGGAAGGUGCUGUUCCCCCGUUAGUCGUGUUGUCGCAGUCAGGCACUGCACGUGCAAAAGAAAAGUUUCUUGGAAUUUGCUAGUGGAAUGUUAUUUCAAAUGAUGCGGAAAGCAAAGAGGACUUUCUUUGAAGGUUGACUUCUAGAUAUUUGGAAAAGUACACCCAAGAAAUGCAGAGUUUGUUGAAGGAUUGCAUAUAGGAAAAGUUUAAAACAACUACACGUUUUUCUGGCGCAUGCUCUUCUCAGCUAUUUCCGCAACCAACGGCACGGCAGCGCAGGGAGGGGAAGAUCUUGAUAAAUGAUAACAAUGUGUUUAUUUCUGUUUAGCCCUUCAGUUUUAUCUAAUUAUGAGUCGGCUCCUAUUUAUCGUUUUUGGCAGUGGCGUCGGCGUCCCAAGGUAUGUGUGCAACUGUUCUGUAGUUUGCUCUUCAUAUUUUAGUCAAUCUGGUAAUUGUUGUUUGAGUUGUUGCUUUGUAAAAAAAAAAAAAAAAACGAAAAAAGAAAGAAAACAAACUGAUUGUAUAGUGGUCCUUAGAUGACCAUUUGAUUGUUUGUACUCACCAUAUGUAUAUGCAUUUUCCUUGAGAUAAAUACACAACUAUCAGUGUCGAACUAUA